This 1388-nucleotide long non-coding RNA is filed under the name Lytechinus variegatus (green sea urchin). RNAcentral's name for it is "uncharacterized LOC121427450". Lineage: Eukaryota; Metazoa; Echinodermata; Echinoidea; Temnopleuroida; Toxopneustidae. The record is from RNAcentral.
GACGAUCGACGAUAAAUAGCUUUGCACGAAAUGAAGAGGAGCAAAGCGUUUAAUAUCGGUAUUUGCCGAGCUGUGAGAACAUCUAAAUUUUUGAAUGGAUGAAAACAUCUUACAACAUGCACAGACUGUCCUGAGAGACUAUUAAAUGAGGAUUGUUAGAGAGGAAUAUGCCAACAAGAACUGCAAUUAGGAGUCGUUGACAGGAAACUUUUUAAAAGAGACCACACACUACCUCAUCAACAUGCUUGAAGAUGAUCUGAGCCUGAAGAGGGACAAAGGGCCUAGUGAUAGACUACCUUUCUCUCUGCAAGUAUCAACAAUUCUGCUUUUGUAUGCUGAUAAUUUCAGGGAAUACAUGGUGAUGAGGCAUCAAUGUUGCAAUCAUCUGUUUGUGAGUGAUCAAAGAUGUUUCACAAGCCAUAGCAAAAAGAAAGAGGUUUUGUGAGAACUUCAACAACAAGAGAUGAGAUUGAGGCUACCCAACAACAACUGUAUGAGUGAUUGAUGGGACCCAUGUCUAUACAAGAAUUCCUGGAGGGAAACAAGCCUUGUACUUUCCUGAAGGGCAAGUCCACCCCAACAAAAAGUUUCUUUGAUAUAAUACAGAAAAGUCCAAUGAGCAUAACACUAAACAUUUCAUCAAAAUUUGAUGUAAAAUGAGAAAGUGUUGACAUUUUGAAGUUUCGCUUUUUUUCACAAAACAGACAUCCUGGUCAGUAUGCAAAUGAGUGACAAAGUGACGUUCUCCACUCAGUGUUUCUUUUGUAAUAUACUAGUAUCAUGAUUUAUUUCCCCUCAUAAUGUGUAUAAAGUACAGCUGAGAUAUGGUUUGAUUUCUCCCUGAAACUUUUGUAAAAAGCCAUUGUGGCAACCUAUACUCGAUUCGAUGAAGUUUUCUCAUAAUUCUGUAAAAAAUCAAGCAUUAUAAUAUAUAUUUCUACAGAAGAAAGAGUGAGUGUGUGACAUAGACUUGUUUGCAUAUCACCUGUUUUAUCACUUGAGUAAUUAAUUUCUUAUUUUACAUCGUAUUUUGACGUUUUCCGUGUCAUCUGUCAUGCAUGUUUUACUUAUCUCUAUUCCAUUCACAUUAACUUUUUUUUGUACAGUGGACUUGCUCUAGAACAGGUAUUUUUGUAAUGUACAAGUAAGAAUUUCAUUAUUUACUUGUGUCUUCUUUUUUAACACUUCUUUUUACAGGGGUGGGGGGGGGGUUGAAUCAACCUCCCUUGAGAUCUCUGCCAAUGAUCACAUUAACGCCUUGAAAAUUGGUAUGAUAAUAGUGGGGGAUGUCUUGUGCAAUGCUGUUUGGUUAAUUUUUCCGAAAUCGUCAGAUCUUUAACAUUAAUUAAUUAUGCUAAUUUCUGCAUAAAUCAUACUUUUAUACCAUU